Molecule: ribosomal RNA, 233 nt
Filed under: uncultured bacterium
Lineage: Bacteria
Description: partial 16S ribosomal RNA
Rfam family: Bacterial small subunit ribosomal RNA
Source: RNAcentral
UGAGCAAUCUGCCCUUCUCUUUGGAAUAAGCGUUGGAAACGACGUCUAAUGCCGAAUACGACCUCCUUUCGCAUGAUCGGAGGUGGAAAGCUCCGGCGGGGAAGGAUGAGCUCGCGGCCUAUCAGCUAGUUGGUGUGGGUAACGGCCCACCAAGGCGACGACGGGUAGCCGGCCUGAGAGGGUGACCGGCCACACUGGGACUGAGACACGGCCCAGACUCCUACGGGAGGCAG